AGUGAACGCUGGCGGUAGGCCUAACACAUGCAAGUCGAACGGCAGCACAGUAAGAGCUUGCUCUUACGGGUGGCGAGUGGCGGACGGGUGAGGAAUACAUCGGAAUCUACUUUUUCGUGGGGGAUAACGUAGGGAAACUUACGCUAAUACCGCAUACGACCUACGGGUGAAAGCAGGGGAUCUUCGGACCUUGCGCGAUUGAAUGAGCCGAUGUCGGAUUAGCCAGUUGGCGGGGUAAAGGCCCACCAAGGCGACGAUCCGUAGCUGGUCUGAGAGGAUGAUCAGCCACACUGGAACUGAGACACGGUCCAGACUCCUACGGGAGGCAGCAGUGGGGAAUAUUGGACAAUGGGCGCAAGCCUGAUCCAGCCAUACCGCGUGGGUGAAGAAGGCCUUCGGGUUGUAAAGCCCCUUUGUUGGGAAAGAAAAGCAGCAGGUUAAUACCCCGCUGUUCUGACGGUACCCAAAGAAUAAGCACCGGCUAACUUCGUG
RNAcentral lists this ribosomal RNA (492 nucleotides) under uncultured bacterium. Its description in RNAcentral is "partial 16S ribosomal RNA". It matches the Rfam family "Bacterial small subunit ribosomal RNA", at positions 29 to 507 of the family's 1533-position model. The record is from RNAcentral.